GUCUACGGCUAUACCACCCUGAAUGUAUCCGAUCUCGUCUGAUCUCGGAAGCUAAACAGAGUUGGGCCUGCUUAGUACUUGGAUGGGAGUCCACCUAGGAAUACUGGGUGUUGUAGGCG
Molecule: ribosomal RNA, 119 nt
Filed under: Pteropus alecto (black flying fox)
Lineage: Eukaryota; Metazoa; Chordata; Mammalia; Chiroptera; Pteropodidae
Source: RNAcentral